Molecule: transfer RNA, 68 nt
Filed under: Marmota monax (woodchuck)
Lineage: Eukaryota; Metazoa; Chordata; Mammalia; Rodentia; Sciuridae
Description: tRNA.Ala
Source: RNAcentral
GGAUUGUGGCUCAGUGGUGGAGUGCUUGCCUAGCAUGUGUGAGGCACUGGGUUCAAUUCUCAGCACCA